Glycine soja is the source of this 1021-nucleotide long non-coding RNA. RefSeq lists it as uncharacterized. The record is from RefSeq and is a predicted model, not a curated record. NCBI's taxonomy places the organism in Eukaryota, Viridiplantae, Streptophyta, Magnoliopsida, Fabales, Fabaceae. The transcript has 4 exons.
GACGACUUUGCUUUUGAGCACAAUACUGUGGCGCUGGCCUCCUUCUAGGUUCCCUGUUGGAAAUUAUGUUAUACUUAUGAAAGUCUUAGCAAACAUCCAUACAAGGACAGAUAGUUCUAUUAAACUUACACUUUUAAAGCUGUACACAUCUUUAUGUAUUAAACUUUUCCUUAUUAUCACCCAUUCUCAAGUAUUUACGCUAACUAACUUCUAUUUUGUUACCAGCUUUAUGUGAUUCUGUAGCUAGAAAACGUAUAGAGGAUGGAGAAGUAUUUCCACAAAUGUUUGUGCAGGCGAUGGGAAAAUCAGACCCCCAUUCUGUUCGAAUAGAGGGGUUUAGGCUUGCUCAAUGUCUAUUGAGAUCCCAAGAGAAUUGUUUAAAAGUGGUUGGUUUGUGUGGUGAAGCUCUUGUUGAUGCAAUAAUUUGUGGGAUGAAAGAAACUGGGCUGAGUUCUAAAUAAAUUGGGAACAACCAUGGGUCUUUGUCAGGGGAAGCAUGCCAGUCAGCUCUAAUUACUCGCUGGGCGGGUGAUCAUCAUAUCAAGUUUUGGAAACAAGGAAUUGAUAGAAUUCUCCUUAAUCCUCCUGAUUGAAAAUAUUCAAGACCAAUUGUCUAAACCUGUCUUGUCAUUGAAAAAACAAAUAUCCAUGGUAAAAGAGGGAUUAAAAGCCAAUUAUCAUCUUGGUCUUGGGAGUUAUCUAUGAGACAUUCUUGGGUGGCUUACUAUUCACUGUGGAGAAAAUUUAAACCCUCAUACUCAUGGAACUUGAGUUUUGUGGAUACACUUGAAAAAUGGUGCCGAAUAUGUCAAAAGGAUAUUGCUGAUCCUUUUCAAGGCGAACCAGUAUCAAGGGCUGUUCUCGUGAUGAUUCAUUCUCCACUUUCAUUCCAAUCCUCACUAGAGUCUCUGCAUUCUUGAUUUCACAAGAACAUACCCUCUCUGCAAGAACCCGUUUUUCACUUUUCCAGCUUCGUAUAUUCGGAUUCUCGGGAGUGAAAAUGUUCCAUGCGCUAUUCUAU